RNAcentral lists this small RNA (117 nucleotides) under Pongo abelii (Sumatran orangutan). Its description in RNAcentral is "Metazoan signal recognition particle RNA (ENSPPYG00000032617.1)". Lineage: Eukaryota; Metazoa; Chordata; Mammalia; Primates; Hominidae. The record is from Rfam by way of RNAcentral.
GCCGGGCGUGGUGGCUCACGCCUGCAAUCCCAGCACUUUAGGAGGCUGAGGCGGGUGGAUCACUUGAGGUCAGGAGUUUGAGACCAGCCUGGCCAACAUGGUGAAACCCCGUCUCUA